This 450-nucleotide ribosomal RNA is filed under the name uncultured bacterium. RNAcentral describes it as "bacterial SSU rRNA". It matches the Rfam family "Bacterial small subunit ribosomal RNA", at positions 29 to 524 of the family's 1533-position model. The record is from RNAcentral.
AACGAACGCUGGCGGCAUGCCUAACACAUGCAAGUCGAACGAGACCUUCGGACUUAGUGGCGCACGGGUGCGUAACGCGUGGGAAUCUGCCCUUGGGUGCGGAAUAACUUCUCGAAAGGGAUGCUAAUACCGCAUAAUGUCGUAAGACCAAAGAUUUAUCGCCCAAGGAUGAGCCCGCGUAAGAUUAGCUAGUUGGUGGGGUAAAAGCCUACCAAGGCGACGAUCUUUAGCUGGUCUGAGAGGAUGAUCAGCCACACUGGGACUGAGACACGGCCCAGACUCCUACGGGAGGCAGCAGUGGGGAAUAUUGGACAAUGGGCGAAAGCCUGAUCCAGCAAUGCCGCGUGAGUGAUGAAGGCCCUAGGGUUGUAAAGCUCUUUUACCAGGGAUGAUAAUGACAGUACCUGGAGAAUAAGCUCCGGCUAACUCCGUGCCAGCAGCCGCGGUAAU